Molecule: long non-coding RNA, 624 nt
Organism: Asparagus officinalis (garden asparagus)
Lineage: Eukaryota; Viridiplantae; Streptophyta; Magnoliopsida; Asparagales; Asparagaceae
Exons: 4
Source: RefSeq, a predicted model, not a curated record
AUCAUCCAAUUCGCAUGGGAACCUCAACGAAGCAGAUCACGCAGCUGAUGCAGUGCAAGCCUCUAUCAAAGCAUGAGGUCAUAUCAAUCACUCUGUAUUCUGGAAUAAUCUCAAGCCUGUCAAUGUAGGUUGGUUCUCUUUUAUUCAUUUCGGCCCAACAAAGAAUAGUGCUUUUAUGAUUGAUAGGAGGGAGGUGGUGAACCUCCACAUGGUGCACUUGGUUGGGCUAUUGACACAGAGUUUGGUUCAAUGGAAGCUCUAGUGCAAAAAAUGAACUCAGAAGGAGCUGCUUUGCAAGGUUCUGGUUGGGUGAGCAUGAACGAAUUGUUGGGGUUAUCUGCAAAAGCUCAGGACAAGGGAAGGGAAUAGCUUACGGUGAUUCCGGUUUCAAACAAGCCGAGUAGGAGUGAUAUCUGAAGCUUCUUUUGAUAUGUGUAUGUGCUAUAUAUGCGCCAUAUGUUGUGGUCUUUUUGCAUUGUCUAUGCGUGUGCAAAUUGGUGUGUAAGUCGUAGCUUCUGAGAUAUUGUGGACUGAUGUGAUGUACAAUGAGAUUGAAUAAUCAUAUGUAGCUUCUUCAAGUUUAUGUGCAGACCCUUCUGUGCAACUUAAUAAGAAUUCCUUUGG